Molecule: long non-coding RNA, 3971 nt
Filed under: Triticum aestivum (bread wheat)
Lineage: Eukaryota; Viridiplantae; Streptophyta; Magnoliopsida; Poales; Poaceae
Description: long non-coding RNA (TAES_LNC017223)
Source: RNAcentral
UUUGUUACUUCAUUUUAUAAACUGUUAUAAGCGUUAUAAUUUCUUUCAUUUAUCUGAUUUAGUUGUCCCAAACUCCCAAUACAUAUUUAAACCGUGUUGUGGGCUUUCAAGAAGACAAAUGACAGAUUCACAAUAAUGGGCUGGCCCAAGUUACUUAACCAGACGAUGUUAAUCCACUUACUCACUUCAUGACCAUCCCCUCCUUCUCCAAUCUCUCACUCACCCUGUAGUUUCCACCGCAUCGCCGCUGCUCCUCUGCAUCGGAGGCACGACUUCAAUUGCAAGAUCCACUCCCGCACUCACAAGAUCUACUUCCUCCGAUGUACGCAUCGCGUCACCAGGUCUCACCAGGUCAGGCUACCUCAACCACUUCCAAGUGAACCUUCACAAACAACACAGUAUUACGUCUAAAGGAUAGCAAGUAAAUCCGGAGUAUUACAGUUUUGAGCUAAUGUUUUUUUCCCUAGAGGCGGCAGUGUAAUUAUUAGCUGUCAUUAAAAUCAAUAUUGUCUCAUGAAAAUGCCUACCCUGUUGACCCGCUAAUGGCAAUUACAAAAAUGUUUGGUUCAUUACGCCUAAUUCAAAUUAGCUUCAAUGCCUCAUGUUUACUUCCAUAGCCUGAACUGAUAAAUCACUGAAAUUUCUUCUCUGCUAAACCUAUGUCUACUUCGUAAUCAACACCCGAGUAAUAACAUGGUAGAUCGUCAUACAUGUUUAUCUCCUGUUUUCUUGAUGUCUGAGUAACAGUAUAUGCAUGUGUCCUACAAGCUCAAUGCCCUACUAUUCUGGUUGAUAGCUGACUGUUGAGUCAUUGGCACUAAGGUUGCUAAUAGAAAGGCGCACUUACAGAGAGUCCAUGAACAAGAUAGCAAGAAGAAAACAUAACAUAAAAUAGAGAUGUAAUUCCCCUUUGUACUAUGAUGUAUAUGCUUGUUUAGGGCAAACCAUAUAUCUUCAGAAAUUUGUACCUUAUCAGCUAUUUGAUUUGGUUACCGCAGUUCGGUCUUUUCCCUCUUGUGAGUUCUGCACCAUCCUUACAUGAUUCAUCAACAACCACCUAGAAACGAUCAGCAGAAAAACAAAAUCAAAGUGAAAUCAAAUGGAAUCGCAUGUAGGUAGUAGCGAAGUACGAUAUAUGCCACUCCAUUGGCACUUUGCCUGUACACCAUGCAACAUCAAGUGAGGCAUGAUCAAUAAAUUGAUCAGAUACCAACAUCAUGUAUUAAGCACAAAUCAUGAAUCAAUACCAGAGGACCAAAUAGUGUUACCACCUCUGUACUAACAACCAAACAUUUUUUUAGAACAGGGAGGCUCUAACAACCAACAUUUUAGCAUGUCAUUUGUUUACCAAGCAAAACCACAAUAGCUAAAUCUCCCAAGAGCAUACUUUCGGAGAAGCACAGUCCAGAUCAUACACCCACAAAUAAAUGGCUUGGUUUUCAACUGGCAUAAUGAUUUCCUCCCUACCGCAAGCCUCUGCCUACAACUUUAAACUGAACCAUCAAGUUAGCAUGGCAUUUUUUAUAGAAGUAUUGCUAUAGCAGUCUAAUUUCCCAAGGGCAGGAGUCUAAUAUACUUUCAGAAUGUGCAGUUCAGAUCAUGCAGUUAGAAAUAAACUUUAUGGUAGUAACUGUACAGGACUUGCUAUUCAAUUAUCUUUUCUAGUACCCAUUUGGAACACGACACAAUGAUUAGCUCCUAUUAUGUAAGGUCACACUAUUUAAAUCGAGAAUUGCUCGCAUUUCAUUAUUUUUUUAGUUAUCCUAGUAGUGUUUACUUGCACAUCAGGAGUAUCACAGUUACAACUAAAGAGGCAUUGUCCUAUCAUAAUUUAAAUAUCAGAAGCUGACAGCAGUAAUGUAAAUACAUAUGGUCGAGACAUAAUUUUGUAGCAAAACAUGUCAGAGAGGCAAUAGAUUACAUGUGAAGGCACCCACACAAGAUUAUUACAAGAGCAGACACAAGGAUCAGAACACCAAGUAACAAUUAGAAUCUGUAUUGCGAGCUCCCUUCCCCCAUUCUAUUUUUGCUUGACAUUCAAACAUAGAACAAAGUAAUUCUUUUUAAUUUCCAAAGCACAUGUGAAUAUGACAAUACAGCUUGUCAAACCAGUACAUUGACUCAUAGCUCUGUGUCUAACAUUCAAAUCUAAAAUUAAGUAACUCUAUUUUGUUCUUAAUGAAAACAAAAAGGACCUCAGAAAGCCCAAGUAGCACCAAAAAAAAUAUAACACGGGAGAUUAAAAAAAACACUGAAGCAUCAGAGUAGGGAGUAAUUAUCAAAUAGAAACAAAAGGAAAAGAAAAGCAAGAAGCUCACUUCCCCCAUCUGUUUUUGUUUUCUUUCACUUAUAUACACCAGACCAAUAGACAAGCACUUUAACUAUAAAAAAACAUAAUUCCUAAUUCAAGAACACAGUUGAAUAUUGGAGCACAACAUACUACUCUUCGUAAAGUAAAACCAGGCAUGUGAAGUCUCAAUUGACGGACGCUGCUUAGGAAGGAUUCAAUUAUGCUAUUGUUAAGUAGGUACAUUACAAAGCCUGUUCAUGCUAACAGUAGUAGAUUCUUGUAAUCACACUUCAUGUUAUAUUUUCUAAAUAAAAUAAAUGAUCUCGCUAUAGCAGAAAACAUACAUGCAUAUAGCUGACUGAAUUACCUCGCAAAGCUUCUGUUCUUGCAUUUCUACAUUGCCCUUGGUGCUGAAAAUAUAUAAAACAUCAGGCUAAUGCUUAACAAGAUUUUGAUAGUUCAGGUGAUAGGAACUAUCUACACAAAUAUAGGAUUAUGCAUAUGGAUAGUUAGCAUGCAGUAGUCAGUUUCACAGGAUGUUGCUGAUGAGCAUCCUAUUGCUGCCCUUGUUCUCAUAUAUCGGAACGUACACAGAUCCACCAAGCAGAACCAUCAGCUUGCUGUCAUUCAUUCCUUGAGAUCCACAGCAACAUAAUUUGGCACACAUAUUGGGAUUACUAACAAGCUGACCUCCAGAUCCUUUCUGGAUGCACCAAUACUCAGAUUUUUUUUCUUAAAAGAAAAGAAUGAAAACUAAGAAUUCUUAGUGGGAACUACUAAUAUGAGAAGUUAUCUGAUACAUAACACAAUUACCACUCGAUAUAGGAUAAAUUGUUCCAUUGGGAGUAUCUUCUAGCUUUUUUACUUUCUUCUGAUCCAAAGUAGGCGCUAGGACAAAGUAAAUCUUUAAACACUUUUGUAGUGGAUUCAAAACAAUAAGAAGUCAUUUAACUGGCAGAACAUAGCAUUAUGAAAAUAUAUAGCAAAGUCAUUUUUGUGUAUGCUAGUUGCAACAUCGACACAACACAUAUUCUAGCAAAUAGACCUAUGUUCAACACAUUCUACCACAAAGUGCCUGUCCAAAGAUCCUACAUUUUGGUACAGAGGUUGUACGUCACAAACCAUCUAUCCUAUCAUCAGUGCAUGCAGUAUGCAGUACACCAUUUUCCAUAGCUGGAAAGAGACCAUACAUCAUAAUCUGGUCACAAUAUGUAGACAGAAGUGGUUAUCUGGACAAAAUAGGGAGGCACACCUUCACAAAACAGUUCUUAGUAAUUAUAGAAUUAACUGAAGUAAAAUCAAGCAUGUAUGUGUGCUCACUGAAAUGUGUAUGCACCAUUGCCGAUUGAAACAAGAUACACACAGCCGAUUGAUAACCGACAGUUGAAUUAUUGGCGCUCGAAUGUAUGUAUGUGUCCUUGCUCGCCUCUUGUAUGUAUAAAGGACCAAAAUGAUAGUUUGUGUAGUGUAGACCGCUCAAUCGUAAGCAUCUUGUGUGCACCUGAUACACAGUAUACAUAUGAUUAGUACAUUUUAUCAGCAAUAGAUGUGCACAUGAGCUGAAAACAACUUCGAAGACUGCAAGAGUAUAUAAAACCUGUAACUGGUAGCCACAAAAAGAAUUGUCUUUUCUACCGAACAGGCCAGUUCGCUAUGACCAGUUCACGCUCCACGAUUCAGA